GGACAACAUUAAACCCUGCAGAAGGUGUGACCUCAAGGACACUCCCCUCCAGGCUGUCCCUGGCUGGAAGGGAGGGUCUGGUGGGGGCCACCUUGAGCAGGAGGCCUGAGACCAGAUGUGAGACAGCUGAGCCCCAUGUGUGCCCCUUGGUGACUUCACUGAUGGGCUCAGCACCAUCUGGGACAGGCCAGUGGGAAGGUCCAGUCGUGCCUUGGCUGCAAAUCUGGAAAGGAUGUGGUCCUAGAGGCCUCCAUGCCCUGCCCCAGCCUAGCCCGGUUCCAGUUGCUGGCAGCUUGUCGCCAGGGGUGGCCCGGGUAUCAUCCUCACCGUAACGGCGAAUUGUGCUGGUCUCCCAGGGACUGCCGCCACCCAGCACGGGUGGUGUGGUAGAAGACACCUCUGGCUUUGGGGCUUGGAGGCAUCUCCUGUGAGCUCAGCCUGUCCGUGGCCAGGCCACUGUCCGUGUCUGUUAGUUGCAGAAAAAGCAGUUCCCCAGGUGCCAGCAAGGACCACCUUCCUUCGCUGUCACUGACCUUGAGAAGAGUGCUGGGCGCCCGUGGAGACCCACCAGCCCGAUUUACGGAGGAUGGGCAGAGCCGGGGUCUCUGUCUGCACAGACUUUAUUUUGGAUAUUUCUGGGUGGGCAGUUUCUUUGCAUGUUUCGGGAGAGGUUUAUUGAUUUGGGGCUUCUCGGUUGGGCCCUGGGUUUUGGUCUUAUUUUAGGGGUUGUUUGGGGGCCUCGGGACGGUCAGCCUCACAGGGGACAGGAGGGGGGUGGGUGGGCUUUUCUGUCAUACUCUUGUGGGAGGUUGUUUGUUGUUUGUAUUUCACAUGUUCCCCUCCACAAGCUGGAGUCGUUUCGUUUGGUUUCCACUGUGUGGACAGUGCCUGAGGGGCUGGGGGCGGAGAAGCCCCCCGCUCCCAGACCGCGAGGCACCCACCUUCUGGUGCGAGCCCAGCCCAGGAGGGAGGAGGGUCUUGUUCAGGAGCGAAGGCGGCUCUCGGGCUGCUGGGUGACUGCCAUUCUGUGUACAGUCUCCCACCUGGGUAGGACCGAAAGCCUGAGGGGAUCCCCCAACUGGGCCCCCAGGCCAGACUGGAGCAAACACCACCAGCCUGCCGGCGAUGCCACAGGGACCAAGGAGGUGGAGGACCCCAGACCAGGAGCUGACCUGGUCGUUCCGAGGGGCAGUGCCCCCGAGAAGAGAGAAGCGAGAGAAUCAAGUCCCUUUCGACUUCGGGUUUUUCGAUCAUUGACAUUUCGGAGGGGACCCUCCAGAAGCCAGCGGCUUCCCGAGGACUCGCCCUUUGCUGGGAGUGGAUUUCCACACGUGCCUUUGACUUCGGACAGGUCAGGCUGCACAGCCGCCGACUCAGCUGCCAGAAUCCUGGACAAGGGUUGGUGUUUUCUCUCUCCACCUGCUUCCCACCCAGGACGGAGAUGUUGCCUGAAGGUGAGCAUGGGACCCAGGUCUUGUGCCUUCCGUGCCCCGUGCGCCCCCUCCUGACCGUCCUCCCUCCCGUACACUGAAGCCUGGCAGCUAUAGCAAACUGCUCCUGUUCUCUGUUAAAGGGCCGUGGUGAGAUUUUGUUUCCUUUUGUUUUAUUUUUGAGUUUGUUUAAGAUGGAAAUUAGUUAUUUUCUUCUGCUGGACAGUAUUAAAUAGAGCAGGAUGUUGAGUUAAUCUGCUAGAUUGCAGUACUAAUGGUAGUGGUUUAGUGUCUUCAUAUUAAUAUUAUUUGGACUUAUUUGAACAAUAAUGAUAAAGAAGUGGUUCAUUAUUUUUUAAUUAAUGCACUUUAAUAAGGUGGAAUGGAAAGAAACCCAGAGAGCAAAGUGCAUUACUUAAAGAUGCAGUAUAUACUUUUCUCAUUUUUAAGCAGCACAUAUUUAUUGAAAGAAAAAAAGUAAUUUAUGAUUAUUUAAAAUAAAUUUAAAAGUAGAGUGACUGUCGGGUUAAAGGACCUUCCACGUAGCUAUCUUCCAGGGGGAGGGCCCCAGCGGCCUCACUCCUCAGAAUUCUGCACUGAGCCAGUUCAAUCACAACGCGACAGCCAGGCCAGGAAGGAGUGCAGGACGCAUCUGCCCAGCACAGAGCAUCUCAGUUGGACUGGACCACAGUGCUCCCCAGAGCCUGCCUUCCCCUGCCCUUCCUCACGGCCUCGACUGCCCUGUGGGGCUCUCUACCACCGCCAGGGCCCGCAUUCCCCUGCCCCUCAAGGGCCCUCUACCCUUGAUCCCCAGUGCUCUAAGUGAUGGUCAUUAAAAGUGACCUCAAAGGUCACUCCAUCCCAUCCCCUCCUGUUAUUGCAGCCCAAGGACAGGAAAUGACUCCCAAAAUCACACGGCUAAGUUUACUGGCAGACCUCCCCACGGCAUCCAUCCUGGCACUCCUACCCACCCCCCUUCGAGCUUAUUGUGUGGUCAUCAUGUUUACAUUGGGACAUCCAGCCCCGAGGAUGGCUGGGAGUUGCUCAGGCAUCCAGGGAAAGUGGGGAAUGCUGCCACCUGGUGACAGCAUGGAGAUGUGGGCAGUGAACAGGGAUUGCCAUGUCCCAUCUUUGCCCCUUGCCCCUCACCACCACCCCCUUAAUUCACAGCACAGCACAAACCCUGCAAACCGAAAGAGAGUAUUAAUACUUGAAGCAAAAAAGGGUGCAUGCCAGUCCCUCUCAGACAUGGCUAGGCGAUGCCAAGCCUUGUGCCCCUGGACCCCUAGCCCUACCCAGGGCAAGAGGGCCUUUCCCUAGAGCUACUGAGCUGCUUUGUGAUGCUGGAGGUACUGCUGGCGGCAGGUGGAGGAGGGAAGGGCCUGGGGCUCUGACCCAUCUGGAGGAAAACCAGAUCGGCCUGAAAAAAAAGGAAAAAGAAAAAUGAAAUCUCAGCAGUGUCCAAACCUAGUUUUCCAUUCGUUACGAUUGAAAAUGUGAACUGACAUUGUGUGGCUGUAUACUGCAACUUUAAUCAUAAUGAGCCCUUCUGAGGUCAUUAUUGAGGUUUAUAUAAUGCCUGAAGAUGCAUCAUUGGUGCUUUUCUUUGUUGAAAGACUUUUUCUUUUCUUACAAGGGGGAAAAAAUGUCUUCAUCUCUCUCCCACUUUUUAUAACAGCGGGCCUGGCUGGGCUUCCUGGCCCUGCCACUGCUGUUUCCACUAGGCCAAGGGACCACAGGGGCAGCAAGAGGGAGCAGGAAGGGGUGACCCUGAACAGCAGGUGUGCCAUCUGCUCCUACCUGUGGCCGGGCCCUGCCUUGCCAGCCCUCGGCCCCAUCCACCCCGAGCCUGGCCCCAACAGCUUCUCUUCGUUCCCCCUCUCUUCUCCCUCUUGACGAAGGCAUUAUAUAGAAUCAUUUUAAUCACUUUCAGAUGUUAGAGCAGCAUAUUUUACUGGCAUUUAUCCAUCGCUUUCCUCAGCAAGGCAUGUUACUACUCUUAUCAUCUAAGGGAAAAAAAGACAAGGGAAUUUCGGCCAAGCAUUAUUUUCAUAUUACUAGUAUUUGCAGAGUAGAUGUAGAACUAUUUAAGUUUAGACCUUGGUUUGGUAGUUUAUUUUUUUUAAGGGAAAAAAGAUAAGGUAACCCCUACUUUUCCUGUUUUUGUAUUUAACUAAUAUAUUAUUUCUUUAAGGUUACUCACUUCCCCUAGUCCCUUCAAAUACUUUGCAUUCUCAUUCGAAAAUGAAAACAAUCUGAGAGACAGGAAACGUGCAAUAUUAUCAAGAGAGGGAUGCCAGGGCUUGUUGGGAUGGUGGCAGGAGGGAGACCCGGUGGCCCAGUCUGUCGAUGGAGGGAGGCGGGGCUGCUGGGAGACGUGGGAGCUGUGGAGCGGAGGGGUGGUCCAGGUUAUUGAUCUUUUCCCCUCCUUGCCUGCCCCCCUCCCCUGGCAGGAUGUCAGGGGUCCCCGCCAGAGGGCAGCCCCUUUUUCUGUUGGGUGUCAUCCACCCAGAAGAAAGGGAUUCAGGGAAGUAGCAUGGGGCUCUUGACCUCCCGGGGCCCCUGCCCUCAGAGCAGAGCAAGGACGUCCAGGAACUGUUCCUUGUUUUCAUUUCCGUGGUUUCCAGCCAGCUGCUCAGAAAGACCUGUCCUAACAGUCACUCACCAGCCCUCGCUCACCCCAGUCUCCUGAUGUUUGGGCCAUGAUCCUUUUGAUGUAUGUAUGUUUGAGUCUUUCUAAAACUAUGUAACCUCAGUUCAGUUUAUGGGCAGGAACCCUAGAUGUAACCGAAUCCUUUCUGGGGGAGGUGGGUGCCUUCAGCCCUGCCCUAUCCCAGUGAAACACCAAUUUCCACAAGCCUGCAGCUGGGCCUGGUGCUAACCUGGGCCACCCGUUCAUCUCAGUGACUUCAGCUGAGGAGUGAGCCCUGCCUCUGCUCAACACCCCAACGGUCAGUGCCCAGAGGGUCUCGGAGCAGCAGCUGAGGGGCCUACCCAGGUCCCUGCGGACAGAACUGCCCACAACAGGUACCAAAGCGGCCUCCUAAGUUGGCACGGGCAGAGGAAGCAGCAGGGUGGGAAGUCUCUGGGUUCAAGCCCUUGGAGCCUGGCUCCAGGGACGGCCUUGCUGGCGUGUCCCCUCCACCUCCAGUACUGUAUGCUUGCUGCUCCGACCCGUUUGGUGCAUUUCUGUACAAAUAUGGAUCUAUGUGCCAAGUGGGACUGUGCCCCCCUGUGUGGGUCUCUCCCCUUGGAGCAUCUACAUCUAUGUCCAACCUUUGAAAAUCUUGACGCAGAGCUCUCUGGAAAAGAGAACCAUCCACAUAACUAAAGAAUUAAGAUUCCCUCACUUUUUUGAGGGCUGUGUGUUGAGAAAGUGUGUGCGUGCGUAAGUGUGCCUGUGCGCGUGCGUGUGUGUAACUUCCCACUGUUACGAAGUAGGAUGGGGUUAGAGAAAACCAGCGGGCACGCUGUCUCCAUUGUACAGUCCUUGGCAUUGGGCAGGCCCCACGGGACUCACAGCUUCUGGCAAGUGUGUGUUAUUCACACACGUAAUUCUGGCUGGAGAGUGCAAUGUGUCUUUUUUUAUUUUUUUGUAAUUAUUUUAUUAAGUAUUUAGUUGGAAACUUCACACUGGCAUUAACAGAUCUAGCAGAAGCAGCCUAGGCCAUCGUCCCAGGCUCCCAAAUGAAGUUGUGGAAAAGAGAUGCCGCUGAGUGUGCUACGCGGCAGGCCGACUCCCACCCGUCGCCAUGCAUGUCAUCACCGUGGGGUGAUGGCCCUCAGCUCUUGUUUCUGGGGAUGGUCAGGGCGAGAACUUGCUCACGGUGAGCUCAGCAGACCUGCACGUGCAUGUACAUCGGCACCUGCCUAGACCUCGGGCCCUGUCACUUGAUGGGACUAGUGUGAAGGGUUCCCCCUUGACCUUACUGAGAUUUCUGCCAAAAUCAUGAUCCUGUUUGGGGCAGCCUCUGUGGUUCUCAUGCUCCGUGACCAGAGAAGGAUGGGGGUCAGUGACCUAUUGCCUUAUUUCAGGAAAAGCAGCCCCACUGAUUUAAGCUUCCCUCCUGUUUUGUCCUGUGCACCUGGGCUCUCAGACAAGAAGUUGGGCACAUUGGUGCUUAUAGACUGGGCAGGCCUGGUCCCAACCUGCCUAUAAGGUUGAGAUUGCCAUGCAUCUUCCUGACCAAUUCCUGCCUUUCUAAUCUUGAGUUUGCACUUGACCUUGACAAUCACCCACCCCAGUCCUAGAAUUUAGUGGCCUUAGAGAGUGGAUCCCUGCGCUAAAGGUCCCUCCUUUGCACCCCCAAGUUUCAUCCUGGCUAAUGGGGCUGGACUUCAGGAGGUGAGAGAGAGAGGAAAAAAUUGUUUUAAAGCAAAAGGAUGGAUCGAGCAUGUUGGAGACGAGCAAGAGGCAUGUCGGCAAGAUGAGUAUGUGCAUGUGUGGCUUGUUUGGGUGUCUGGGACUGACCGUCCCUUCUCUGGGAAGGUGGCUUCCAGAAGAGGGUGUCUAGGCAGAAAGGGAAGUGUGAGAAGGCUGAGAGAGGGUUUGGAGUCUUGUCUUUAUUAAAAAGAAGGAAGAAGUUGAUUCUAAGUGUUUCAGGAAGAAGAGAGCAGGUAAGGAGGGAAUUUAGUGAUGCAACACACAAGGGUCCAGCCAGAUCAGGUUGAAAUAAGGCUGGAGGAGAAGCAGCUGGCCAGAGGAAACGCUACUUGCUGUGCCACAAGCUCGGUCCCUAGCAAGUUCUUAAUGAACGGUCACUGAUUUACUCAGUGGAGAGAGUAAGUCACCAGCAACAACUUGUAUUUUGAGUUUGGAGGCCCUGGAUCCAGAAUAUUCACCCAUCUCCCAGGUUCCCAGCUGGUUUUGCCCACCUCUUUUUGUCUAAUACACAGCUAACCCCUCAAAUUGUUUAACUCAAAGACUAGAGACCAAAAGGGUCAUGUAGUUAGAGACCCGCCACCCCCAAAUUGGAACCUCAGGGUCCAGAUACCAUCAAGCUCAUCUGGGAGGGAGGCGACCUUGUUUGUUCUUCUCCAAUGUCUCUGAUGAUACCUGUGGUUAUUCAGUUGGUUGAGCCUGCCCACUGGUGUGACUUAGAAGACAGGGGGUGGGGGGGAGGGGGUGGUACAGUGCAUACUCAUCCAUGGAUAUGCCCUUUCGUGUUUAGUGGCCUAUGACCAAGACACACUGCUCUUAAGUGUUUAUUUCAGAGGAAGAAGGGUAAACAGCCACCAUUCUUGAAUCUGCAUCUUGUUCUCUGCAACAGGUUUUCUUUAAAUGCAGGACACAGGAUGGGAGAGGGUUUUGCUGCUAGUUACUGAGAGGUUCGCAGGAAGGUGACCGAGUGAUGCACACGUGAGUGGCAGGUCCCUGAAGUGUGGGUUUGUGGACCGCAUGGUUGCAUGUGAACUGGAUGCCUCGGCUCCAGAACUUUGGGGGAUUUCUCGUGGUGUCCACUUAACCCCCCUCCCUCCCAGAUCCUAGUGGGCUCUAUGGGGGUCACGUUGUUUCCUCUUCCGCCCUCAGCAGAGAAACUGAAGGAAAGGACAUUAAAUUGAAUGCAGUCAAUUUGAGCACUAAAAAAUUUCCAGGAUCAAUGGUGGUGCUAAACUAUCUCCAUGUUUCUAUUAUUUUUAAUAGUGGGUUUUUGUUUUUUUUAUUAUUGUUCUCAUCACAAAAACGCAGUGUCCUUGGGGAAGGGAUCCAGCCUCUUGGCCUGUACCUUUCCAGGUGUCCUUUAUCAUUUUGACGGGACUCUUUGGUCUGCAGAAAUACUAUGACUUGGCAUGCUUCUAGACUAAUCACCUCUUCAUUCUCCUUAAUGCCAGAAAACCCAUCCAGCUGAAUGGCAAAAGCAUCCCCAGUGCAGAAUGAACUACAGGAUCCAUAUCCUCUGGGGACAGAGGGGUGGGGGAUGAGAAGCCUCCAACCCUCCCAACUUCUGCUGAACUCUAACAGGGCUGGGCCAUCCUGAUGUA
Long non-coding RNA from Myotis davidii, 7412 nucleotides. RefSeq lists it as uncharacterized. NCBI's taxonomy places the organism in Eukaryota, Metazoa, Chordata, Mammalia, Chiroptera, Vespertilionidae. The transcript has 2 exons. The record is from RefSeq and is a predicted model, not a curated record.